UACGUAGGGUCCGAGCGUUAUCCGGAAUCAUUGGGCGUAAAGAGCUCGUAGGCGGUUCAGCAAGUCGGCUGUGAAAGUCCGGGGCUCAACCCCGGAAUUGCAGUCGAUACUGCUGUGACUCGAGUCCGGUAGAGGAGAAUGGAAUUCCCGGUGUAGCGGUGAAAUGCGCAGAUAUCGGGAGGAACACCAGUAGCGAAGGCGGUUCUCUGGGCCGGCACUGACGCUGAGGAGCGAAAGCGUGGGGAGCAAACAGGAUUAGAAACCCGCGUAGUCC
This 274-nucleotide ribosomal RNA is filed under the name uncultured bacterium. Its description in RNAcentral is "partial 16S ribosomal RNA". It matches the Rfam family "Bacterial small subunit ribosomal RNA", at positions 524 to 796 of the family's 1533-position model. The record is from RNAcentral.